UGAGUAACACGUGGGCAAUCUGCCCUGCACUUCGGGAUAAGCCUGGGAAACUGGGUCUAAUACCGGAUAGGACCUUUAGACGCAUGUCUUUUGGUGGAAAGCUUUUGCGGUGUGGGAUGGGCCCGCGGCCUAUCAGCUUGUUGGUGGGGUGAUGGCCUACCAAGGCGACGACGGGUAGCCGGCCUGAGAGGGUGUCCGGCCACACUGGGACUGAGAUACGGCCCAGACUCCUACGGGAGGCAGCAGUGGGGAAUAUUGCACAAUGGGCGCAAGCCUGAUGCAGCGACGCCGCGUGGGGGAUGACGGCCUUCGGGUUGUAAACCUCUUUCACCAUCGACGAAGGUCCGGGUUUUCUCGGAUUGACGGUAGGUGGAGAAGAAGCACCGGCCAACUACGUGCCAGCAGCCGCGGUAAUACGUAGGGUGCGAGCGUUGUCCGGAAUUACUGGGCGUAAAGAGCUCGUAGGUGGUUUGUCGCGUUGUUCGUGAAAUCUCACGGCUUAACUGUGAGCGUGCGGGCGAUACGGGCAGACUAGAGUACUGCAGGGGAGACUGGAAUUCCUGGUGUAGCGGUGGAAUGCGCAGAUAUCAGGAGGAACACCGGUGGCGAAGGCGGGUCUCUGGGCAGUAACUGACGCUGAGGAGCGAAAGCGUGGGGAGCGAACAGGAUUAGAUACCCUGGUAGUCCACGCCGUAAACGGUGGGUACUAGGUGUGGGUUUCCUUCCUUGGGAUCCGUGCCGUAGCUAACGCAUUAAGUACCCCGCCUGGGGGAGUACGGCCGCAAGGCUAAAACUCAAAAGGAAUUGACGGGGGGCCCGCACAA
This 824-nucleotide ribosomal RNA is filed under the name Mycobacterium sp. Its description in RNAcentral is "bacterial SSU rRNA". It matches the Rfam family "Bacterial small subunit ribosomal RNA", at positions 107 to 928 of the family's 1533-position model. Lineage: Bacteria; Bacillati; Actinomycetota; Actinomycetes; Mycobacteriales; Mycobacteriaceae. The record is from RNAcentral.